CAGAGGGGGCAAGCGUUGUUCGGAAUUACUGGGCGUAAAGGGCGCGUAGGCGGCCGGCUAAGUCGAACGUGAAAUCCCCGGGCUCAACCCGGGAACUGCGUCCGAUACUGGCAGGCUUGAAUCCGGGAGAGGGAUGCGGAAUUCCAGGUGUAGCGGUGAAAUGCGUAGAUAUCUGGAGGAACACCGGUGGCGAAGGCGGCAUCCUGGACCGGUAUUGACGCUGAGGCGCGAAAGCCAGGGGAGCAAACGGGAUUAGAUACCCCGGUAGUCCUGGCCCUAAACGAUGAAUGCUUGGUGUGGCGGGUAUCGAUCCCUGCCGUGCCGAAGCUAACGCAUUAAGCAUUCCGCCUGGGGAGUACGGUCGCAAGGCUG
RNAcentral lists this ribosomal RNA (372 nucleotides) under uncultured organism. RNAcentral's name for it is "bacterial SSU rRNA". It matches the Rfam family "Bacterial small subunit ribosomal RNA", at positions 526 to 896 of the family's 1533-position model. The record is from RNAcentral.